AAGCUACAAUCCAUCUGACAAAUGGGACCUUGGGGAAGCAAUGGAGAGAACCUAAAUUUUAGAGAUCUCUUGAUUAUAGGAGUCAAAAGCAUGAGAGUGGGGCGGGAAGGAGUUCAGGAGCAAGGCAACUUCUUUUCUUCACCAAGGAGACAUAAAUAUGUAAACUCAGGUCCUCUUUUUGUGAAUUGACCACAUGGAUAAAGGAGGAAAA
RNAcentral lists this long non-coding RNA (211 nucleotides) under Sarcophilus harrisii (Tasmanian devil). Its description in RNAcentral is "lncRNA (ENSSHAG00000021852.1)". Lineage: Eukaryota; Metazoa; Chordata; Mammalia; Dasyuromorphia; Dasyuridae. The record is from RNAcentral.